This 631-nucleotide ribosomal RNA is filed under the name Vibrio sp. MI19. RNAcentral's name for it is "bacterial SSU rRNA". It matches the Rfam family "Bacterial small subunit ribosomal RNA", at positions 55 to 666 of the family's 1533-position model. Lineage: Bacteria; Pseudomonadati; Pseudomonadota; Gammaproteobacteria; Vibrionales; Vibrionaceae. The record is from RNAcentral.
AUGCAAGUCGAGCGGAACGACUUAACUGAACCUUCGGGGAACGUUAAGGGCGUCGAGCGGCGGACGGGUGAGUAAUGCCUAGGAAAUUGCCCUGAUGUGGGGGAUAACCAUUGGAAACGAUGGCUAAUACCGCAUGAUGCCUACGGGCCAAAGAGGGGGACCUUCGGGCCUCUCGCGUCAGGAUAUGCCUAGGUGGGAUUAGCUAGUUGGUGAGGUAAUGGCUCACCAAGGCGACGAUCCCUAGCUGGUCUGAGAGGAUGAUCAGCCACACUGGAACUGAGACACGGUCCAGACUCCUACGGGAGGCAGCAGUGGGGAAUAUUGCACAAUGGGCGCAAGCCUGAUGCAGCCAUGCCGCGUGUGUGAAGAAGGCCUUCGGGUUGUAAAGCACUUUCAGUCGUGAGGAAGGUGGUAGUGUUAAUAGCACUAUCAUUUGACGUUAGCGACAGAAGAAGCACCGGCUAACUCCGUGCCAGCAGCCGCGGUAAUACGGAGGGUGCGAGCGUUAAUCGGAAUUACUGGGCGUAAAGCGCAUGCAGGUGGUUUGUUAAGUCAGAUGUGAAAGCCCGGGGCUCAACCUCGGAAUAGCAUUUGAAACUGGCAGACUAGAGUACUGUAGAGGGGGGUAGAA